UGCGUAGGCGGAUUUUUAAGUCAGUGGUGAAAGCCCGGAGCUCAACUCCGGAACUGCCAUUGAUACUAUUAAUCUUGAAUACAGUUGAGGUAGGCGGAAUGUGUAAUGUAGCGGUGAAAUGCUUAGAUAUUACACAGAACACCGAUUGCGAAGGCAGCUUACUAAACUGUUAUUGACGCUGAGGCACGAAAGCGUGGGGAGCGAACAGGAUUAGAUACCCUGGUAGUCC
This 229-nucleotide ribosomal RNA is filed under the name uncultured bacterium. RNAcentral describes it as "partial 16S ribosomal RNA". It matches the Rfam family "Bacterial small subunit ribosomal RNA", at positions 568 to 796 of the family's 1533-position model. The record is from RNAcentral.